CCCUCCCUCUCUAAUUAGCCUCCCUCUCUAAUAAGCCUCCUCUAAUUAGCCUCCUUCUCUAAUAAGCCUUCCUCUCUGAUAAGCCCCCUCCCUCUAAUAAGCCUCCCUCUCUAAUGAGCCUCCCUCUCUAAUAAGCACCCUCCCUCUAAUAAGCCUCCAUCUCUAAUAAGCCCACUCUCUAAGAUAACCCCCUCUCUAAUAAUCCCCCUCUCUAAUAAGCCCCCCUCUCUAAUAAGCUCCCUCUCUAAUGAGCUCCCUCUCUAAUAAGCCUCCUUCUCUAAUAAGCCCCUCCCUCUAAUAAGCCUCCCUCUCUAAUUAGCCUCCCUCUCUAAUAAGCCUCCUCUAAUAAGCCUCCCUCUCUGAUAAGCCCCCUCCCUCUAAUAGGCCUCCCUCUCUAAUGAGCCUCCCUUUCUAAUAAGCACCCUCCCUCUAAUUAGCCCCCUCUCUAAUAAGCCCCCUCUCUAAUAAGCCACCUCUCCAAUAAGCCUCCUCUCUCUAAUAAGCCCCCUCUC
This is a non-coding RNA of Paramuricea clavata, 512 nucleotides long. Lineage: Eukaryota; Metazoa; Cnidaria; Anthozoa; Malacalcyonacea; Plexauridae. The record is from the annotation of a GenBank genome assembly.